RNAcentral lists this ribosomal RNA (397 nucleotides) under uncultured Gammaproteobacteria bacterium. Its description in RNAcentral is "bacterial SSU rRNA". It matches the Rfam family "Bacterial small subunit ribosomal RNA", at positions 114 to 507 of the family's 1533-position model. Lineage: Bacteria; Pseudomonadati; Pseudomonadota; Gammaproteobacteria. The record is from RNAcentral.
UGCCUAGGAAAUUGCCCUGAUGUGGGGGAUAACCAUUGGAAAUGAUGGCUAAUACCGCAUAAUGCCUACGGGCCAAAGAGGGGGACCUUCGGGCCUCUCGCGUCAGGAUAUGCCUAGGUGGGAUUAGCUAGUUGGUGAGGUAAGGGCUCACCAAGGCGACGAUCCCUAGCUGGUCUGAGAGGAUGAUCAGCCACACUGGAACUGAGACACGGUCCAGACUCCUACGGGAGGCAGCAGUGGGGAAUAUUGCACAAUGGGCGCAAGCCUGAUGCAGCCAUGCCGCGUGUGUGAAGGAGGCCUUCGGGUUGUAAAGCACUUUCAGUCGUGAGGAAGGCAGUGUAGUUAAUAGCUGCAUUACUUGACGUUAGUGACAGAAGAAGCACCGGCUAACUCCGUG